GUCUUAAUAGUUUAUGAAAAAUAUUAUAUUGUGGAUAUAAAGAUACAUUAGUUUAUGACA
RNAcentral lists this transfer RNA (60 nucleotides) under Pseudoniphargus portosancti. Its description in RNAcentral is "tRNA-His". The record is from RNAcentral. Lineage: Eukaryota; Metazoa; Arthropoda; Malacostraca; Amphipoda; Allocrangonyctidae.